RNAcentral lists this ribosomal RNA (496 nucleotides) under uncultured bacterium. RNAcentral's name for it is "partial 16S ribosomal RNA". It matches the Rfam family "Bacterial small subunit ribosomal RNA", at positions 29 to 507 of the family's 1533-position model. The record is from RNAcentral.
AUGAACGCUGGCGGCGUGCCUAAUACAUGCAAGUCGAGCGAACAGACGAGGAGCUUGCUCCUCUGACGUUAGCGGCGGACGGGUGAGUAACACAUGGAUAACCUACCUAUAAGACUGGGAUAACUUCGGGAAACCGGAGCUAAUACCGGAUAAUAUAUUGAACCGCAUGGUUCAAUAGUGAAAGACGGUUUUGCUGUCACUUAUAGAUGGAUCCGCGCCGCAUUAGCUAGUUGGUAAGGUAACGGCUUACCAAGGCAACGAUGCGUAGCCGACCGGAGAGGGUGAUCGGCCACACUGGAAGUGAGACACGGUCCCGACUCCGACGGUAGGCAGCAGUAGGGAAUCUUCCGCAAUGGGCGAAAGCUUGACGGAGCAACGACGCGUGAGUGAUGAAGGGCUUCGGAUCGGAAAACUCUGUUAAUAGGGAAGAACAAAUGUGUAAGUACAUAUGCACGUCUUGACGGUACCUAAUCAGAAAGCCACGGCUAACUACGUG